AAGAUUAAGACAUGCAAGUCUUGGUAGAGUGAAACUGUGAAUGGCUCUUUAAAUCAGUUAUGGUUCUCGAUAACUGUGGCAUUUAUUAGGCUAAGAUAUGCCAACAAGUGCUGACCUUCGGGCACACAUCCAUUUAUCAGACCCAAAACCCAUCCGGGGUGCUCUCGGGUGCAUCGGGCGCUUUUGGUGACCCUUCGUGGCACUAGCAUCUCAUUCAAAUGUCUCCUCUAUCAACUUUCAAUGGUAGUUUCUGUGCCUACUAUGGUGACCAAAGAUAACAUGGAAUCUGGGUUUGAUUCCGGAGCAGGAGCCUGGGAAAUGGCUACCACAGCCAAGGAAGGCAGCAGGCACACACAUUAUCCACUCCCGAAUUGUGUAGGUUUAGUGA
RNAcentral lists this non-coding RNA (388 nucleotides) under Salmo salar (Atlantic salmon). Its description in RNAcentral is "Eukaryotic small subunit ribosomal RNA". It matches the Rfam family "Eukaryotic small subunit ribosomal RNA", at positions 40 to 470 of the family's 1831-position model. Lineage: Eukaryota; Metazoa; Chordata; Actinopteri; Salmoniformes; Salmonidae. The record is from Rfam by way of RNAcentral.